AAUAGCGGAGGAAAAGAAACCAACAGGGAUUGCCCUAGUAACGGCGAGUGAAGCGGCAACAGCUCAAAUUUGAAAGCUAGCCUUCGGGUUCGCAUUGUAAUUUGUAGAGGAUGCUUUGGGUAAAACGCCAGUCUAAGUUCCUUGGAACAGGACGUCAUAGAGGGUGAGAAUCCCGUAUGUGACUGGAAAUGUUAACCUAUGUAAAGCUCCUUCGACGAGUCGAGUUGUUUGGGAAUGCAGCUCUAAAUGGGAGGUAAAUUUCUUCUAAAGCUAAAUAUUGGCGAGAGACCGAUAGCGCACAAGUAGAGUGAUCGAAAGAUGAAAAGCACUUUGGAAAGAGAGUUAAAAAGCACGUGAAAUUGUUGAAAGGGAAGCGCUUGCAAUCAGACUUGUUUAAACUGUUCGGCCGGUCUUCUGACCGGUUUACUCAGUUUGGACAGGCCAGCAUCAGUUUCGGCGGCCGGAUAAAGGCUCUGGGAAUGUGGCCUCCACUUCGGUGGAGGUGUUAUAGCCCAGUGUGUAAUACGGCCAGCCGGGACUGAGGUCCGCGCUUCGGCUAGGAUGCUGGCGUAAUGGUUGUAAGCGACCCGUCUUGAACCCCGGGGACCCAAA
Molecule: ribosomal RNA, 612 nt
Filed under: Aureobasidium sp. YM24623
Lineage: Eukaryota; Fungi; Ascomycota; Dothideomycetes; Dothideales; Saccotheciaceae
Description: eukaryotic LSU rRNA
Rfam family: Eukaryotic large subunit ribosomal RNA
Source: RNAcentral